Molecule: ribosomal RNA, 451 nt
Filed under: uncultured organism
Description: partial 16S ribosomal RNA
Rfam family: Bacterial small subunit ribosomal RNA
Source: RNAcentral
ACACUCCUGCGGGAGGCAGCAGUGGGGAAUAUUGGACAAUGGGCGCAAGCCUGAUCCAGCCAUGCCGCGUGAGUGAUGAAGGCCCUAGGGUUGUAAAGCUCUUUUGUGCGGGAAGAUAAUGACGGUACCGCAAGAAUAAGCCCCGGCUAACUUCGUGCCAGCAGCCGCGGUAAUACGAAGGGGGCUAGCGUUGCUCGGAAUCACUGGGCGUCAAGGGUGCGUAGGCGGGUCUUUAAGUCAGGGGUGAAAUCCUGGAGCUCAACUCCAGAACUGCCUUUGAUACUGAAGAUCUUGAGUUCGGGAGAGGUGAGUGGAACUGCGAGUGUAGAGGUGAAAUUCGUAGAUAUUCGCAAGAACACCAGUGGCGAAGGCGGCUCACUGGCCCGAUACUGACGCUGAGGCACGAAAGCGUGGGGAGCAAACAGGAUUAGAUACCCGAGUAGUCCCAUGA